RNAcentral lists this ribosomal RNA (253 nucleotides) under uncultured bacterium. RNAcentral describes it as "partial 16S ribosomal RNA". It matches the Rfam family "Bacterial small subunit ribosomal RNA", at positions 524 to 776 of the family's 1533-position model. The record is from RNAcentral.
UACGUAGGGAGCAAGCGUUGUUCGGAUUUACUGGGCGUAAAGGGCGCGUAGGCGGCGCGGUAAGUCACUUGUGAAAUCUCUGAGCUUAACUCAGAACGGCCAAGUGAUACUGCAGUGCUAGAGUGCAGAAAGGGCAAUCGGAAUUCUUGGUGUAGCGGUGAAAUGCGUAGAUAUCAAGAGGAACACCUGAGGCGAAGGCGGGUUGCUAGGCUGACACUGACGCUGAGGCGCGAAAGCCAGGGGAGCGAACGGG